UGGGGAAUUUUGGACAAUGGGGGCAACCCUGAUCCAGCCAUCCCGCGUGUGCGAUGAAGGCCUUCGGGUUGUAAAGCACUUUUGGCAGGGAAGAAACGGCGCGGGCUAAUAACCUGUGCUAAUGACGGUACCUGCAGAAUAAGCACCGGCUAACUACGUGCCAGCAGCCGCGGUAAUACGUAGGGUGCAAGCGUUAAUCGGAAUUACUGGGCGUAAAGCGUGCGCAGGCGGUUCGGAAAGAAAGGUGUGAAAUCCCAGGGCUUAACCUUGGAACUGCACUUUUAACUACCGGGCUAGAGUACGUCAGAGGGGGGUAGAAUUCCACGUGUAGCAGUGAAAUGCGUAGAGAUGUGGAGGAAUACCGAUGGCGAAGGCAGCCCCCUGGGAUGAUACUGACGCUCAUGCACGAAAGCGUGGGGAGCAAACA
RNAcentral lists this ribosomal RNA (427 nucleotides) under uncultured bacterium. RNAcentral describes it as "bacterial SSU rRNA". It matches the Rfam family "Bacterial small subunit ribosomal RNA", at positions 355 to 774 of the family's 1533-position model. The record is from RNAcentral.